GGUAGGACUACCCGCUGAACUUAAGCAUAC
This 30-nucleotide ribosomal RNA is filed under the name Laccaria sp. GMM7620. RNAcentral describes it as "partial 28S ribosomal RNA". Lineage: Eukaryota; Fungi; Basidiomycota; Agaricomycetes; Agaricales; Hydnangiaceae. The record is from RNAcentral.